Molecule: microRNA precursor, 58 nt
Filed under: Melibe leonina
Lineage: Eukaryota; Metazoa; Mollusca; Gastropoda; Nudibranchia; Dendronotidae
Description: microRNA mle-mir-33 precursor
Gene: mle-mir-33
Source: miRBase by way of RNAcentral
GUGCAUUGUAGUUGCAUUGCGAGGAAUUUAAUUUUGCAAUGUCUCUGCAAUGUAAUCA